AGAAUCAACGCUGGCGGCGUGCCUAACACAUGCAAGUCGAACGAGAAAGUGGAGCAAUCCAUGAGUAAAGUGGCGACCGGGUGAGUAACACGUGACUACCUACCCUUGAGUGGGGGAUAACCUCGGGAAACCGAGGCUAAUACCGCAUAAUAUCGAGAGAUCAAAGGAGUAAUCCGCUUUUGGAGGGGUCGCGGCUGAUUAGCUAGUUGGUAGGGUAAUGGCCUACCAAGGCGAAGAUCGGUAUCCGGCCUGAGAGGGCGCACGGACACACUGGAACUGAAACACGGUCCAGACUCCUACGGGAGGCAGCAGUGGGAAUUUUGCGCAAUGGGGGAAACCCUGACGCAGCAACGCCGCGUGGAGGAUGAAGCCCCUUGGGGUGUAAACUCCUUUCGACCGGGAAAAUUAUGAUGGUACCGGUGGAAGAAGCACCGGCUAACUCUGCGCCAGCAGCCGC
This 457-nucleotide ribosomal RNA is filed under the name uncultured bacterium. RNAcentral's name for it is "SSU rRNA". It matches the Rfam family "Bacterial small subunit ribosomal RNA", at positions 26 to 518 of the family's 1533-position model. The record is from RNAcentral.